This 354-nucleotide ribosomal RNA is filed under the name uncultured bacterium. RNAcentral describes it as "bacterial SSU rRNA". It matches the Rfam family "Archaeal small subunit ribosomal RNA", at positions 723 to 1075 of the family's 1478-position model. The record is from RNAcentral.
ACUGAAUAGAUACCCUGGUAGUCCCAGCCGUAAACGAUGCGCGUUAGGUGUAUCGGUGACCACGAGUCACCGAGGUGCCGAAAGGGAAACCGUGAAACGUGCCGCCUGGGAAGUACGGUCGCAAGGCUGAAACUUAAAGGAAUUGGCGGGGGAGCACCACAACAGGUGGAGCCUGCGGUUUAAAUCGGACUCAACGCCGGGAACCUCACCGGAUAAGACAGCGGGAUGAUAGCCAGGCCGAAGACUUUGCUUGACUAGCUGGGAGGAGGUGCAUGGCCGUCGUCAGUUCGUACUGUGAAGCAUCCUGUUAAGUCAGGCAACGAGCGAGACCCACGCCAACAGUUGCUAGCAUGU